Molecule: ribosomal RNA, 496 nt
Filed under: uncultured bacterium
Lineage: Bacteria
Description: partial 16S ribosomal RNA
Rfam family: Bacterial small subunit ribosomal RNA
Source: RNAcentral
GAUGAACGCUGGCGGCGUGCCUAAUACAUGCAAGUCGAGCGAACAGAUGAGGAGCUUGCUCCUCUGACGUUAGCGGCGGACGGGUGAGUAGCACGUGGAUAACCUACCUAUAAGACUGGGAUAACUUCGGGAAACCGGAGCUAAUACCGGAUAAUAUAUUGAACCGCAUGGUUCAAUAGUGAAAGACGGUUUUGCUGUCACUUAUAGAUGGAUCCGCGCCGCAUUAGCUAGUUGGUAAGGUAACGGCUUACCAAGGCAACGAUGCGUAGCCGACCUGAGAGGGUGAUCGGCCACACUGAAACUGAGCACCGGCCCAGACCCCUAGGGGAGGCCGCGGUAGGGAAGUUUCCGAAAUGGGCGAAAGCCUGAAGGAGCAACGCCGGGUGGGUGAUGAAGGUCUUCGGGUCGUAAAACUCUGUUAUUGGGGAAAAAAAAAGUUGUAAGUAACUAAGCCCGUCUGGCGGGACCUUAAUAGAAAACCCACGGUAAAUUACGG